AUCCUUGUUAAUGUUUCCAAAGAGGACAAGAUUUGCUGUUCCCUGUGCUUACAGAGGAGCACAGGCUGGGGGCACCUGUCGUCUUCCCCAUGGACAUGGUGGGCCCCUUGACAUUCCCUGAGCUGUGCCUUGGUAAAAGCAAUGGAAAGAAAUCCUAAAAAGAUGGGGCAGCCCCUAGCAGUGCCUGGAGAGCUUACUUCAGUUGAGUUAUGGCUUUCCCCAAUUGUAUACCAGAGAGCAGUGGGCCCUGUGGCAACAUCAGACAGAAAGCGGUGCUGUAGGGAACCUUGCAUCCCAAGGCACUGCUCCUUUACUCUUCAGUACUAGGGGCAGACAUAGAAGACCUAGGAAAUGAGAAGAACUGGGUACAUGAUAUGAAAGUCAUAGAGAAUCAAUGCAGAAUUAUGUUAAAAAAGUAAUAGAAUCCAAAGUAAAAGGCUUGGCAUGUGCUUGGUGGGUGUGGUGGAGGGAGUGGGAACGAAGAGGUCUAAGUUUCAGUAUCCUAAAACUGGUGCUCCCUUGAUUUGAGGAAGCUCACAUCGCACACUCUAAGGCUGACUUAGUGCCUGGUCACUGGAGGCAGAAACAGUCAGACUUCCCACCUACCUGAACUGAUGCUGUGGUCUUCAUCUGACUGACUCUUAAGCCACUUUAAGUCUGCAAAUUUGG
This 669-nucleotide long non-coding RNA is filed under the name Mus caroli (Ryukyu mouse). RNAcentral describes it as "predicted gene 16178 (MGP_CAROLIEiJ_G0004127.1)". Lineage: Eukaryota; Metazoa; Chordata; Mammalia; Rodentia; Muridae. The record is from RNAcentral.